RNAcentral lists this unclassified non-coding RNA (332 nucleotides) under soil metagenome. RNAcentral describes it as "partial contains 5.8S ribosomal RNA, internal transcribed spacer 2, and large subunit ribosomal RNA". The stretch from base 1 to 120 matches the Rfam family "5.8S ribosomal RNA", at positions 35 to 154 of the family's 154-position model. The record is from RNAcentral.
GAUGAAGAACGUAGCAAAAUGCGAUAAGUAAUGUGAAUUGCAGAAUUCAGUGAAUCAUCGAAUCUUUGAACGCACAUUGCGCCCGCCAGUAUUCUGGCGGGCAUGCCUGUUCGAGCGUCAUUUCAACCCUCAAGCACAGCUUGGUGUUGGGACUCGCGUUAAUUCGCGUUCCCCAAAUUGAUUGGCGGUCACGUCGAGCUUCCAUAGCGUAGUAGUAAAACCCUCGUUACUGGUAAUCGUCGCGGCCACGCCGUUAAACCCCAACUUCUGAAUGUUGACCUCGGAUCAGGUAGGAAUACCCGCUGAACUUAAGCAUAUCAAUAAGCGUAGGA